Long non-coding RNA from Gallus gallus (chicken), 2703 nucleotides. RefSeq lists it as uncharacterized. The transcript is spliced from 5 exons. The record is from RefSeq and is a predicted model, not a curated record. NCBI's taxonomy places the organism in Eukaryota, Metazoa, Chordata, Aves, Galliformes, Phasianidae.
GGGGCCGCUUCCGGCUGAGGGCCUGCAUCCGGGCGGCGCCGGGCUGCGGUGAGGCGGAGAGCGGCGUGCGGUGAGCGCGGACGCAAUCUUCCACUUGGAAAGGGCCUCCCAAGGAUCCCUGGUAUCCUCUGAGAGCUCUGAGCUGCCGCACCAAUUUGAAGCUGACUUCAUUUUUGGUCUUCCCCUUCAGCAGAAAAGCUCAGACAGCCGAGCCAAGUGAGACGCUGGAUUUCCUUUGGCAUCAAGGAAAGCAUCGUGAGAUGUUCUGAUGCCCUCUCACAAUUCUUUCUCCCUCCGCCAGCACCAGAGCUGGCGUCCAAAGAUGCAAUGACACUGCCACAGGCAUUGUGGAGAUUUCUAUGGGAUAGGCCCAUGGUAAGGCUUUAUUGACAGAGGGAGGGACAAUGAAGAUUGGAUGUCAGGGAGAAGGUCUUUCCAGAGACGAUGGUGUGAUGCUGGAAGUGGAUGCCCAGAGAGCUUGUGGACGCCACGUCCGUGGCAGUGUUGAAGGCCAGGUUGGUUGGGGCCCUGGUCAGCCUGGUGUAGGAUUAGAUAUGAUGCAGAUGGGAUUCACGCAUCUGUUUUGCAGCCAGCUCGAGUGGAGCUCUUGGAGCUCAUGGGCGCCCCAUGCCCGCAUCAGCGUGGGUAGGGUGCGCCCUUCCUGCGCGGUGGGGCUUUGGUGUUUGGAGGCUGACGCUGAGGAGACUGUGUUUCUUCGUUUAUCGGUGGCAGCAAUCCAGCUCUGUCGGCAGAGGACUCCUGCGGCUGGCUGGCCUCAGCCUGAGAUGUUGAUGCUUCCAUCUCCUCAGGUUCUUUCUGCCUGCUCUUCUUAGCCCUGCGCCUGAGAAGUCUGACUGAGUCACAUGCCAGAAGUGGAAGCCGGGAUGGAGUGCCUUGCGAUGCCUGUGACGGGCUGGACUGAGCCCUUGAGGAAGGUCUGGAAUCUUUGCUGAAAGAUUCGUUGGCUUUGGGCAACUUCAGCUCUGCAGCCACACGAUGGGCUUUUUCCGCUUCCUGUUCUUCCUCACGGAAGCUCACGUGUUUGGUUCCCGGGGCUCGGCCCAGGUCUUCUUGGCUGUUGGUUUCUGCCUGGCCCUGCAGCUGGCAGGUCAGCGGCUGCUUUUGGUCUUCAGGCACUCCAGGGAUGGCUGGCAGCAGACUGAAAGGACAGAGUGGGAGGGGUCCGCCUGAGUGGGUGAUGGCUUUGGGGCCGCAUCCUGCAAGCCGGAGCCAGGACCCUUGGCUGCAAAGCAGCCUUCCCCACAGACAGCUCAGCGGCUGCCCCGUGGCUCUCCCCCGUGGGAUCCAGAGAGGGGCCAGCCCUGUGAGCUGGGGGGCUCCUGGCAUCCCCAUCCCAGCACUGUUGGGCAGCCAGAAACAGGGACCCUUUGGGGCUAGGGAAUGGGCUCUCAUUGGCUCAGUCAAUCACCCCCAUGCACAUCCCAAGCCAGAGCCUCCAGCCUCACCUGGACGUAGAGCUCUCCUUGCGCAGUAAGCUCCUUAUCCUUCGGAGUUUUCCUCCAUCUAGACUGUCCGAGCUCAAGCGUUUGAUGAAGGUUGGCUUGCCAGCAAAUCUCACUGGGAUUGGGAAGGCAGAGGAGACUCACCGUCAACCCUUUGGCUCACUCACCAGGGGCGCUCAGGCCUGUUCCCAGAACAUGCGAGAGGGCCGCUCUGCUCCCCCCACUGCUGACAUCUGUGCUGCCCGCAGACCCUCCCUGAAACCAUCUCUGGCCCCACUCCCCCUCUCUGCCAUCUUGGGACUCUCUUUUGGGAGUGCAUUAGUGACGCUGGCUUUGGGAAAGCGGAGCUGGGUGGUGACGAUGAGCUGACAGGGUGACUUUUGGAAACCAUAUCCUUUUGUUGGGGGAGGGCGGGGCCUAAGGUGCCAAGGUGCUCCUGCCAUAGCCAGGGAUGGGGGCACGUCACAGCCAGCGCCUUGGUUUUGGAGAGGCCAACAAUUCCUCGUGGGAAGAGGCCGUGCUGAGCUGGCAUGAAGCUUUGACGGAUGCCUCCUGAGGACCUGCGGCAUAUCCCAGGUGGUGGUUUGGGGACAAACUCCAUUUGAAACCUGUACGCGAGGAGACGACAGUGAGCGGUGGGACGCAGCGCUCCACCAAUCCUUGUUGCUCUCUCUGAUUGCCUGCUGACAGGCCCAUUUUCAUGCUGCAUGAUGGCCACUGCUUUCUAAAGGCUUCAGCAGGGCCAGGCUGAGAGCAACCUGAUGUGGCGCUUCUCAAGGAAGUCGUAAUAGAAUUUCAUGUGGAAGGUCAGUCCAUCGAUGUGGAGCACUCCAAUGUCCUUGAAGACAACGGCAACGUUCUCCCCAUUCUUCAGGCAGCCAGAGAGCAGGGACACGGUGCUUUGGAUGCAAGCCUGCGCUGUCUGCCAGGUCACAGAGGCAGCUGCGGCCACCUCGCUGCUCUUGAGCGGCUCCAGCUUCCUAUGGGCUGAAAAAUGGGAGGGACGGAGUUGAUGAUACGGUUGGUUUUCCGCAGUGCUUCCCUGGAACUGCUUCUUGUGGCCAUCAGCCAGAACGGCCCCGUGUUUGGACGGGCUCCUCCGAGGGGGAGGGACUCCCUGCGGGGCUUGAGGUGGUGCACGGCUAUGAGGUUUCCAGACAAGUGAAAGACGGGCCACCGCAGAGUCACGGUCCCGUCCUCAGUCCUGAUGUCUCUGGAGAUGGUGUCAAAGGAUCCGAAG